Molecule: small nucleolar RNA, 192 nt
Filed under: Penaeus japonicus
Lineage: Eukaryota; Metazoa; Arthropoda; Malacostraca; Decapoda; Penaeidae
Description: small nucleolar RNA U3
Rfam family: Small nucleolar RNA U3
About the family: Small nucleolar RNAs (snoRNAs) are involved in the processing and modification of rRNA in the nucleolus.
Source: RNAcentral
AUGAUCAUACUUCAUAGGAUCAAUUCUAUAGUGUGAUUGCCGAGUCCCUCGUCAAGAAACUCGGAUAAAAUUCAACCACGAUGAGGAUCUUAGUGUAAUCCUCUGAGCGGGAAGCGGCUCUUAAGUUCUGCUUAAGAGUUUUGAUGAUGACCGAAUUAGACUCAUUAGCAGAUUUUUCGACCUCAGGCUGGU